This 63-nucleotide transfer RNA is filed under the name Brueelia nebulosa. RNAcentral describes it as "tRNA-Cys". Lineage: Eukaryota; Metazoa; Arthropoda; Insecta; Psocodea; Philopteridae. The record is from RNAcentral.
AAUUUAAUAGUUUAUUAAAAAUAUCAGAUUGCAAGUCUGAAGAAAUUCAUUUAUUUUAAAUUU